AAUUCAAAUUUUGAAAAUAACAAAUACAUAAAAGUCAAAUCAAACGAAAAACAUAAAUCAAAAAUAAUUUGAGCACUGAUUUUUGAUCUUUUGAAGAAAAAGAAAUUAAUUGGAAUUCAAGAAGAUGAGUAUUGGUGAAGGCUUCGUCAACCUACAUAUACUCAGUUUAUGAAUCUAGAAGAAGGUACAUCGUCGACCUCGAAAGUAGCUCGUACAACUGUGAAAGGUUUCAAAUAAAUCAGAUAUCUUGUCUUCACGCUAUUGUUGUUUUGAAGUCUAAGCAUGUAAAAGUUUUGGGUUGUACUGCUUAGAUUACUACAAGCUGAGCACUUUGGUGAAGACAUUGAAAUGUUUCUAACAGUGUAGAUAAGGAAGAAGCUUUGUCUCCGAUUUAUAAAAGGCUGCCAGGAAGAUCGGAGAAAGGGAGAAAGAAAAAAUCAAACAAAACACUUUCAUAAAGUAUAAAUUAUUGUGGACAGUGCAGACAUGAGGGGCACAAUGAAUGUUCAUGUAACUUUUAUCCAAAGGAGAACUAACUUGUAGUUUUUCAAUACUCUUGAUGAUUAAUAACUCAAAUAACAUUUUCUACUUUUAUGUUU
This is a long non-coding RNA of Capsicum annuum, 599 nucleotides long. RefSeq lists it as uncharacterized. The transcript has 2 exons. NCBI's taxonomy places the organism in Eukaryota, Viridiplantae, Streptophyta, Magnoliopsida, Solanales, Solanaceae. The record is from RefSeq and is a predicted model, not a curated record.